UGAAUAGCUUGAAGAUUUUUGACUGCAUACCGCACAUGUUCAACAGGGAAAAAAAAUCAAAUCCCAUAUCAGGAAUAUUUUUUAUUAUCAGAUUCUUUUGGUAUAAAGCAUUGACAGCAAGUAGCAACCAGUAACCUGAAUCAUUCCCCAAUUAACUGAUUAAUUGUUGAUAAAUCAACAACAAAAAUAGACUAAUCAUUCAAACGGGAAUCUUUGGCAUUGCCAGUUUGCCUCCAUCUACAGCUUUUAGCAGUACAAUGCCAUUACCACCACCACAAGCACCAAACCAAAAUGUUAAUUUUCCAAUAAAGGGUUACAAAAAACAAUUUAAAACAUUGGUUCAUAAAUCAAAGACUUGGCUCAGUUACACUAAAACAGUCUUAAGAUUGAAAGAUUAGAG
RNAcentral lists this unclassified non-coding RNA (400 nucleotides) under Hevea brasiliensis (rubber tree). The record is from RNAcentral. Lineage: Eukaryota; Viridiplantae; Streptophyta; Magnoliopsida; Malpighiales; Euphorbiaceae.